This 645-nucleotide ribosomal RNA is filed under the name Staphylococcus aureus. RNAcentral describes it as "partial 23S ribosomal RNA". It matches the Rfam family "Bacterial large subunit ribosomal RNA", at positions 1487 to 2129 of the family's 2925-position model. Lineage: Bacteria; Bacillati; Bacillota; Bacilli; Caryophanales; Staphylococcaceae. The record is from RNAcentral.
CGAAGCGUGCGAUUGGAUUGCACGUCUAAGCAGUAAGGCUGAGUAUUAGGCAAAUCCGGUACUCGUUAAGGCUGAGCUGUGAUGGGGAGAAGACAUUGUGUCUUCGAGUCGUUGAUUUCACACUGCCGAGAAAAGCCUCUAGAUAGAAAAUAGGUGCCCGUACCGCAAACCGACACAGGUAGUCAAGAUGAGAAUUCUAAGGUGAGCGAGCGAACUCUCGUUAAGGAACUCGGCAAAAUGACCCCGUAACUUCGGGAGAAGGGGUGCUCUUUAGGGUUAACGCCCAGAAGAGCCGCAGUGAAUAGGCCCAAGCGACUGUUUAUCAAAAACACAGGUCUCUGCUAAACCGUAAGGUGAUGUAUAGGGGCUGACGCCUGCCCGGUGCUGGAAGGUUAAGAGGAGUGGUUAGCUUCUGCGAAGCUACGAAUCGAAGCCCCAGUAAACGGCGGCCGUAACUAUAACGGUCCUAAGGUAGCGAAAUUCCUUGUCGGGUAAGUUCCGACCCGCACGAAAGGCGUAACGAUUUGGGCACUGUCUCAACGAGAGACUCGGUGAAAUCAUAGUACCUGUGAAGAUGCAGGUUACCCGCGACAGGACGGAAAGACCCCGUGGAGCUUUACUGUAGCCUGAUAUUGAAAUUCGGCA